This 200-nucleotide long non-coding RNA is filed under the name Elaeis guineensis (African oil palm). RNAcentral's name for it is "long non-coding RNA (EGUI_LNC055116)". The record is from RNAcentral. Lineage: Eukaryota; Viridiplantae; Streptophyta; Magnoliopsida; Arecales; Arecaceae.
AGUGGAUUUAUUCUUCUUCUUCCAACCAGAUUUUUUCUUGAUCAAAGAAGUCUGCUCUAUAGUAAGAACAGUGCCCCUUAAACUCUUCAAGGUUUUCACUGUAGUGACCAACAUGUUGAUCAGUUUGGGUAUAGUGCAAUCAAGUUUGUUUAUAUAAAAAUUUAUAAUAAAUUGACUAUAUAUGAACUAGUAAGGGAUUG